This 389-nucleotide small RNA is filed under the name Pongo abelii (Sumatran orangutan). RNAcentral's name for it is "processed transcript". The record is from RNAcentral. Lineage: Eukaryota; Metazoa; Chordata; Mammalia; Primates; Hominidae.
AGCUAAUAAGUGAGCAGCUCCUUCCUCAGCUCUCUUCCUUUUCUACCAGAGGGGGAGAAAUGUCUUGGCUGCCCAGACCACCCAGUGAAUGGAGGAGAAGGGGGAGGGGAUGCUUCCAGCCCCCUCCCCUGACAUCACCCUUCCCUCCUGCAGCCUGGCCCAGUCACUAUGGGCCCUGUUCACCUCCUCUCUGGCCAUCUCCCUGGUGUUUGCCGUCAUCCCCUUCUGCCGCGACGUGAAGGUGCUGGCCUUAGUCAUGGCGCUGGCGGGCUUGGCCAUGGGCUGCAUCGACACCGUGGCCAACAUGCAGCUGGUGAGGAUGUACCAGAAGGACUCGGCCGUCUUCCUCCAGGGUGCUGGGCCAGCACCAUGUAGAUGCCAAGCCUUGG